GGCUCUCUGAAAAAGAAAGAUGGAGAGUCGGACCUGCCCAGUGAAAAUUUUUAACGGCCGCGGUACUCUGACCGUGCAAAGGUAGCAUAAUCAUUUGCCUUAUAAUUGAAGGCUUGUAUGAAUGGUUUGACAAGAAUAUAGCUGUCUCUAUGUAACUUUUUAGAAUUUUAUCUUGAAGUGAGGAAGCUUAAAUACUAUUAAUAGACAAGAAGACCCUAUCGAGCUUGAAAGGAGGUUGUAGAAGUGUAAAAUAGAGUUAAAAAAUUAGCUAUAUAAAAUUUUGGUUGGGGCGACUUAGGAACAAGAAAAGCUUCCUAAAAAUGUAAGUAAACAAUGAUCCAAAACGUUUUGAUUAAUGAAAUUAGUUACCGUAGGGAUAACAGCAUAAUCUUCUUUGAGAGCUCUAAUCGAAAAGAGGGUUUGUGACCUCGAUGUUGGACCAGAAUGUCCUGAAGAUGUAGCAGUCUUUAAGGGUUGGUCUGUUCGACCAUUAAAAUUCUACG
This 503-nucleotide ribosomal RNA is filed under the name Sulcomitrella sp. EES-2022. RNAcentral's name for it is "partial large subunit ribosomal RNA". It matches the Rfam family "Bacterial large subunit ribosomal RNA", at positions 1819 to 2600 of the family's 2925-position model. Lineage: Eukaryota; Metazoa; Mollusca; Gastropoda; Neogastropoda; Columbellidae. The record is from RNAcentral.